AUUUACUUGUCUAUUUUACUAACUCAGGUACACACAAAUUGAAAAAAAAUUCCCGCCGGGCUCCAGUUAUAAACUCACGCUUCGUACUGUGUAUAUGUUAUGUAACAGUCUUUUGUUCACUCCUGACAGAAAAAACCCUGCAAUCCACACAGAAUAUACAGGAAAAUCACAGAGGAGGUCACAUGGACAAAGAAUGUAUACACAUGUAUACACGUGCCCGAAUACCUAAGAUUAAUGAUUUCAUCAUAUGCAUUAAACAAGAUCAGACAUCAGUUCUUCUUUUCAAAUUCAAUUAAUUACUUAGUAAGGUUCUUAAUCGCCUUAUUUGCCACAUUUGAAGAUAGUUACAUGUAUACAUAUAGUUUCAGUCACGCUGAAACCUUACUAUACAUUUUAGUAUGUACGGAUUCAUUAUCAUUAGGCUAGAAUUAAACUUACACCUGUUGAAAAUAAAUGAUAUCACUAUUAAACUCAAAUCAAUUUUAGUAAUAGUUUCAGCAAUGCGUAAACCAUUUGGAAUCUUAACUUAAAGUUUCAGCAUACUGAAACCUAGCGGAAAUGUUCUGAAACUGAUUGAUAUUUCCAUAAUAAUUUACACAACUAUUCACACGAUUCAAAUUUAGUUUCCGCAUUGCGGAAACCAUCAGGAAUCUUAGACUAAAGUUUCUGCUGACUGAAACCUAACGGAUACUUGCUGAAUCGAUAUAAUGGUUUCCGCAUUGCGGAAACUAUACAUGAAACUUCAACUUCAAGUUUCAGCAAGGUUUCCAUAUAGUUUCAGUUUUGCUGAAACUUGAUUUUUCAUCCAGUGUUACAUAAUUCUUUUAGUUUGCAGUCAAUUUGUUUGUUUAUAUUCACUUACACUGAGAAGAAUGGGACAUCAUGAAACAGGAUUGAGAAGAAUAAAUAGACUUGGUCAGAGGAAUGUAAGAGUGCAGAUGAAUUACGCACCACGGAUCCACCGUAAUUGGAUGUCAUUGUGUGAAAUGUGUCUCCAAUUUGCUAUUCAAUACGGAUAUUCUCCAUAUAUCUGUUCCCAGUAUUGCCCUCAACCGAAUUUCAGGAAACCCACGUAUACAGUAAAAACAUAAUGAAAGAAAGACAGAUGAAUAUUCAAUAUCAAUAAGUUUCAACAAUGAUUGAACCAGUUUGAUUGAAUUGUUUGUUUAUUAUUGUAGACCUGAAGCAUGCUAACACUCAACAUGGUCAGCACCCAUAAAACCAAUGCAUAUUUUCUAACAUGCCAUAUUGAACUCUAAAUAAUAAAAAUAAAACACCAAAUCAGAUUCACAACAGAUUUAUUCAUUUUCAUGUAUUGUAAUCCACCCCCCUCUGUGGCAUUAUUUGGUCUUGGCUUCAAGACAAUGAGUAAAAUAUGUGUAAAUAAAGUAUUUGUAAAUUACAUCAUAAUUUUACAAUGGAAAUGCCAUUAGUGCAUUGACACCAAAUGGGUAUGGUCAAAAACACAUCAUUGUCUAAAAAAUUCAACAAUUUUCAAACAACCAACUGUGCAAAUUUAUUCUUUCCGGUUAACGGCAAAGAAAAUAUUUGCAACAUAAAAAAUUAGCAAAUGGCUCAAAAAGAAUAUUACAACUUCAACAAUUGCAAUCAAUAUAAAUGCAAAACACCAACUUGGUCAACUAAGAUUCCGGUAAACGGCAAUUCGAGCCAAAAAUUGUUCAACUUCAAAUUGUCAUUAUCAAAUAAUUUCAACUGCACAUCAAUUGUGCACAAGUAGAUCGGGAACAACACGCGCAUUCAUCUGGUAUGACGGGAAGACAGGAACAACAAGAAGCACAUUCUUCAAAAUGCAAUUUUCAUGAAGUGGUGGGUUUUCUAGUCGAGACUCCUUAGUUGAACUUUAGUCAGUUGAAAAACUGUGAAGGUUAACCAAUACUGAAUCUGUGAACUUUUUUCCAACCAAUGAUUUCUUAAAGCUCAUCCUGAAAUACAAAGUUCAAUACGCAGUAAAAUUCUUAUAUUUAAACAAAUCAAAGGGGUAACAAGGGUGGGAGGGGAAAAUAUUUUUCUCACAACUUUUUCAUAUGCAUCCCGGUUGCUGCCUUUAUCAAAAAGGAAGUUUGUUAAACGUAAACCAAAACUGUACAAAUUUCCGGAAUAAAAUAUUCCGGAAUAAUUAAAAAACUUAGCUUCACUCUAAAAUAAAUUGAUUUAUUUUUUAAUUAAUAAAUCUUAUUAUUGUAGACCUGAAGCAUGCUAACACUCAACAUGGUCAGCACCCAUAAAACCAAUGCAUAUUUUCUAACAUGCCAUAUUGAACUCUAAAUAAUAAAAAAAAAACACCAAAUCAGAUUCACAACAGAUUUAUUCAUUUUCAUGUAUUGUAAUCCACCCCCCUCUGUGGCAUUAUUUGGUCUUGGCUUCAAGACAAUGAGUAAAAUAUGUGUAAAUAAAGUAUUUGUAAAUUACAUCAUAAUUUUACAAUGGAAAUGCCAUUAGUGCAUUGACACCAAAUGGGUAUGGUCAAAAACACAUCAUUGUCUAAAAAAUUCAACAAUUUUCAAACAACCAACUGUGCAAAUUUAUUCUUUCCGGUUAACGGCAAAGAAAAUAUUUGCAACAUAAAAAAUUAGCAAAUGGCUCAAAAAGAAUAUUACAACUUCAACAAUUGCAAUCAAUAUAAAUGCAAAACACCAACUUGGUCAACUAAGAUUCCGGUAAACGGCAAUUCGAGCCAAAAAUUGUUCAACUUCAAAUUGUCAUUAUCAAAUAAUUUCAACUGCACAUCAAUUGUGCACAAGUAGAUCGGGAACAACACGCGCAUUCAUCCACAUGGCGAAAGUGAAUGCAUGCACUGUAUGUAUUCAGUGAAGCCACCGCCACCAUGUGGGGGAAGCGGGUAGUUCCUUAAGCCUAGACCUUGCCACAUCCCACAUGAACAAUAAACUUGGUUCAAAACUAGUAGAGUUUGGGAUGAACAAGUAUCCCAGUUUUGCUAAAUUGUUAAAUAGCUGCACAAAUUGUAUUUAAAAAUAUUUCAGUUCCUUUUUCAGACAAAUGAACACCAUCCCUGUCAAACAACAGCUCAUCAUUGGGUUUAAUAUCUGGGUACUUAAUGUAGCCACCAAUAACAACCAUUUUCCCCUUUCCCCUUUGAUCAGCUUUGGAGUGUUCCAGAUAUAAUUUUUAAAGAUUUAUCCAAUGACAACUACAGGUUUUUAAACUGGACUGCAUGACAUACAGGUUGUUUCUUCCCCUCGGUUAUCUCACCUACCCUAAAAUAUCCACACACAAAAAAACUAAACUAUAAGCAGCUGCAAAAAGUUUUGCUUCAUAAAUAUUAUUGCAGACAAUUGGCAAUGAUUUCAAUAUGCUCUCCAAAAUGUUUAAUGUUAUUGGCAAUCUGAUAUCUUUAGACUUAACCUUUCUUCUUUAACCUUAUAAUAAUUUUCUGACUAUAAAAUUUUGAGUCACAUCUGUGUAAUUAUACAACUUGAGAUAGUAUGAAAUUCCAGACAGAUCUAUAGGUCUUUGCUGUAGAUUCUCCCAACCCUUUUGCUGACAUGUAACCAACAAAUUGUAUAAUUUGCUCUAAAGGAGGGGGCCAAAGCUUCUCGAGGGUAAUAGUAUCACGAAAUUCACCGCCUAUUAAAAUCCCUUGCAUUUGGAACACCUUUGCUAAAAAAAUUUUAACUCCCAACAAUACUCUGAAUUUCUUGAAGCUGGAGAGAUUUUUUCAUCAAACUUGAUGUUAGAAGUGAAGUUAAUUGCUGUAUUUUUUCUGGUGGGAUUCUUACAACCAUGUCUGAGGUGUCUAUUUCUAAACCUAGAAAAAUUAUGUUUGUACAAGGACCCAUUGUAUUUUCUUGUGCUAAGGGAACAGCAAUGAAUUCACACAAGUCCUGGAACCCUUGCAUCAGCUGAACACACUCAUCUGAACCAGAGGCACCCAAAAAUAAUUUUUUUUUUUUUUUUUUUACCCGUUUCAAUUCGUCUUUUCAAUUCCCAUUGCAAAAAUGUUGAAAUUUUUUCAAAUAGAUUACAAGAAAUUGCACACCCCAUUGGCAGGCACUUAUCAAUGUAAUAAUUUCCCUCAAACUUGAAACCUAGGAGGUCAAAAUCUCCUGGGUUUAUAAUCAUUAGUCUAAAUAAAAACUUUAUAUCCAUUUUUGCCAAAACAGUGCCUUUACCUAACCGUGCAACUUCCUGUAAUACCUGAUCUAGAGAUGUGUAUGCAACUGAACAGUCCUCUGGGUCUAUGAAAUGAUUGACACUAUUCAUUUCUGGAUAAGAAAGAUGUGUUAUUAAUCUCCAGCUACCUCCGGACUUGGGGACUAUACCUAUUGGCGAAAACUCAUAAGUUGGAUAUUGGUUUGUUUGAAAAGGGGCCUGCAAUUCUGCCUAUAAAAGAAACCUCACUAUUUAUUUUUUCCGUGCUGCUUCUGGAAAUUGCAAAAAAGAUUUUAAUAUUUUUUGACUUAGCCUUGGACCCUUAUAGCCAAUUCUAAAACCAAACUGAAAACCUUGUAAUAAUUCAGUUCCUAUAGCCUUAUUUGAAUAAUUUUGUAGUAGUGGUUUUAAAUUAUGAAUUUUGAUUGGGUUAUAUCCCAACUUCCAGACAUUGAGCCUAGUAGUGAU
This is a long non-coding RNA of Magallana angulata, 4599 nucleotides long. RefSeq lists it as uncharacterized. The record is from RefSeq and is a predicted model, not a curated record. Lineage: Eukaryota; Metazoa; Mollusca; Bivalvia; Ostreida; Ostreidae. The transcript has 3 exons.